AAUCCAUUUUUGAGCCGAAAGUAGUUAUUUUUACCGCGCGUAAUACAAAUAUAUACAAAAUUUGCGAACUUCACAGGGCUGUAUUUUUUUCGUUUUACAACAUUUAGCAACCAAUCUUUGCAGUUUUACUCAUUUUAAGACGCUCUUUCUAGCUGUGGUGUUGGAUUUCGUUCUUCGUGCCAGCUUGAUCAAAAUUUAGUCUUUAGCUGGAAUCACCCAUUCGUUCGAAUCAAUUUUGUAGAUAAAGUGGGCUUAGGGGUACUCAGGGACGGACCAUUAGAAAAGUGAUAUGGGGGUGGGGCAAAACCAAAAAAAAAAAUUAUUCCCAGAACAAAAUUAGGAAAAAAAAUCUUUCCAGGCAUAGUGCAAAAAAAAAUUCCUUGCUUGGAAGAUAGGCCUAUAAAUUUCACUUAAAGGUGAUCUACAAUCCGUAUGUAAACAAAGCCUUUGUUUACAUUUUUGUGUCCAAAAUAUUGAGCUUUAUUCGACACCUAUUUAUAUUUUCAAGCUUCUAGAGUAUAAUAUAUGAUCAAGAAACAACAAUCAG
Paramuricea clavata is the source of this 547-nucleotide non-coding RNA. The record is from the annotation of a GenBank genome assembly. NCBI's taxonomy places the organism in Eukaryota, Metazoa, Cnidaria, Anthozoa, Malacalcyonacea, Plexauridae.